RNAcentral lists this ribosomal RNA (380 nucleotides) under uncultured eukaryote. Its description in RNAcentral is "partial 18S ribosomal RNA". It matches the Rfam family "Eukaryotic small subunit ribosomal RNA", at positions 592 to 976 of the family's 1831-position model. The record is from RNAcentral.
CAAUAGCGUAUAUUAAAGUUGUUGCGGUUAAAAAGCUCGUAGUUGGAGUUCUGCCAGGUGCCGCCUGUCCGCCCCAGUGGUGAGUACGUGGCGCGCAUUUGGCCCUUUCAAGGGGAGCGUAUCUGCACUUUAUUGUGUGGUGCGGGAUCCUUGACUUUUACUUUGAGGAAAUAGGAGUGUUCCAAGCAGGCUCUCGUCGUGCACAGCUCAGCAUGGAAUAAUAGCAUUGGACCUCGAUUCUAAGCUGUUGGUUGCCAGAAGCGAGGUAAUGAUGAAGAGGGAUAGUUGGGGGCAUUCGUAUUUAACCGUCAGAGGUGAAAUUCUUGGAUUUGUUAAAGACGGACUACUGCGAAAGCAUCUGCCAGGGAUGUUUUCAUUGA